AGAGUUUGAUCAUGGCUCAGGACGAACGUUGGCGGUGCGCUUAAUGCAUGCAAGUCGAGGGAGAAGCAGUUGUUCCGUAAGGUUCGACUGUGGAAACCGGCGAACGGGUGCGUAACACGUGAGAAAUCUGCCCCCCAGACCGGGAUAGCCCAGGGAAACCUGGAUUAAUACCGGAUACUCUCUUUGGAUCGCAUGAUCCUUUGAGGAAAUGGUCCGCUGCUGGGGGAUGGUCUCGCGGCCUAUCAGGUAGUUGGUGAGGUAAUGGCUCACCAAGCCUAAGACGGGUAGCUGGUCUGAGAGGACGAUCAGCCACACUGGAACUGAGACACGGUCCAGACUCCUACGGGAGGCAGCAGCAGGGAAUAUUGCACAAUGGGCGAAAGCCUGAUGCAGCGACACCGCGUGCGGGAUGACGGCCUUAGGGUUGUAAACCGCUUUCGGGAGGGAAGAAAAUGACGGUACCUCCUAAAGAAGCUCCGGCCAACUACGUGCCAGCAGCCGCGGUAAUACGUAGGGAGCAAACGUUGUCCGGAUUUAUUGGGCGUAAAGGGCUCGUAGGCGGUUCAACAAGUCGGUCGUGAAAGCCCGGGGCUCAACCCCGGGAUGCCGGUCGAAACUGUUGUGACUAGAGUUCGGUAGAGGUGGGUGGAAUUCUCGGUGUAGCGGUGGAAUGCGCAGAUAUCGAGAGGAACACCAUUAGCGAAGGCGGCUCACUGGGCCGAUACUGACGCUGAGGAGCGAAAGCGUGGGGAGCAAACAGGAUUAGAUACCCUGGUAGUCCACGCCGUAAACGAUGAACACUAGGUGUAGCGGACUGAUUCAUGUCUGCUGCGCCGUA
Molecule: ribosomal RNA, 838 nt
Filed under: uncultured Actinomycetes bacterium
Lineage: Bacteria; Bacillati; Actinomycetota; Actinomycetes
Description: bacterial SSU rRNA
Rfam family: Bacterial small subunit ribosomal RNA
Source: RNAcentral